RNAcentral lists this ribosomal RNA (254 nucleotides) under uncultured bacterium. RNAcentral describes it as "partial 16S ribosomal RNA". It matches the Rfam family "Bacterial small subunit ribosomal RNA", at positions 524 to 776 of the family's 1533-position model. The record is from RNAcentral.
AACGGAGGGGGGUAGCGUUGUUCGGAAUUACUGGGCGUAAAGGGCGCGCAGGCGGCUGCUCAAGUCAGGCGUGUAAGGCCUGGGCUCAACCCGGGAAUUGCGCUUGAGACUGGGCUGGCUUGAGUGCGGGAGAGGAUGGUGGAGUUCCCAGUGUAGAGGUGAAAUUCGUAGAUAUUGGGAAGAACACCGGUGGCGAAGGCGGCCAUCUGGGCCGCAACUGACGCUGAGGCGCUAAAGCGUGGGGAGCAAACAUG